UUACCUGAUAAACACUUGCGUUACUUACGAACAAGAUGAUUUCUCAAAUUGUAUUGGUAUCGCUUUUAUCAGCAUCUUCGCUGGCCAUGCCUUCAUCACCACUACCUCCUUGCAUCUGUAGUGAUGGAACGGGCAUAUAUCCGGGACAGACUCAUAACGUCACAGACUGUGAUAUAUGUAAAUGUAACGAACAAGACGGUGUAUCCACUGAUCAUAUCAACUGUUCCCUUCCAGGGUGUGUUAAACCGUAUUCUGUAGAAGGAGAUGGAGUAUGCUGUCCAUCCUGUCCUAAAGGUCCAGAUUGUGAAGCUAUCGGUGGUCCAGAACAAAUCAACCCAAUCAUAAUUCCGGCAGAUGGUGAAGUACAUUAUCUUCUAGGUUAUGCGUGUUCAUGCAAUGGUCCUAGUCCAGCCAAUGCAAGUUGUUUUCCAUACUCAGGCCCAACAUGUCCUUGUAGUAACCGACAAUGGACAAUUCCAGGGCGCCCGCUGUAUAUAUCAGACUGUGAUGUAUGCACAUGUGAAGAAGAUUACAACCGGUAUGAUUCUUAUCCUUGUCAUUCCCUUCCCUGUGUUGAUCCAUUCAGUGUAGAGGGUGAUGGUAUUUGUUGCCCAUAUUGUCCUAAUGGUCCUAACUGUGAACAUUUUACUCAUGAUGGAGUCCGACAUAUUAUUCCUGAUAAUGGUACCAUACCUGUCCCUGGAGGUCCCUGUUAUUGUACUCCUUGGGACCAUAGUGGCUAUAUGCCAAGAACAGCACAAUGUGACCCCCCACUACCACCCGUCUCCCCCACCAGCUUCUAGAUGGUUGAUACGUCAACAAAAUCCGUUUGUAUUAAUUCACUAUUAAACCGUACACCUCUAGGUAAACCAUAUUUACUCUCGAGGUUUUAUUGACACCAUAUUCAUAUUGGAUGACGUACACCUGUACUAUCAACUGAUGAUCUGUUAACUAGUCUCUUUCAGCGCUCUUUUAGUUAUCUGUCCCUGUUUUAUGGUAUAUUAUUCUACCAUUUAGUUAAAAAUUUUGUACAUCUUUAUAUUUUUUAAAGAACAACUUAACCACGUUUAUUUAAACAAGUUUUUAACUGACUGUAUAUCCAACUUGUCCAUAAUUUUGAUUUUAUGAUUAUAUUGUCAUUUUGUAAAAUGAUGUGAAAAGGCGCACUAUAAUUAAUAUGCUGUAAUAAUAAUAAUAAUAUAUACUGCUCACUGUACUGUAAACCCUAAAGGACAGGGGGGUCUAGGGGAUAUUUGAAUUCGAUACGCAUAUUUGAUGAAGUACUCAUGUACAAUAACAUGAUACGAUUAAAUAGACCACUCUUUGUUGUA
Molecule: long non-coding RNA, 1331 nt
Organism: Patella vulgata (common limpet)
Lineage: Eukaryota; Metazoa; Mollusca; Gastropoda; Patellidae
Exons: 3
Source: RefSeq, a predicted model, not a curated record